This is a microRNA precursor of Cricetulus griseus (Chinese hamster), 84 nucleotides long. Lineage: Eukaryota; Metazoa; Chordata; Mammalia; Rodentia; Cricetidae. The record is from Ensembl.
AUCGAUCCCUAUCCCAGCUUCCUUCCAGCCUUUGAUGUUUUUCUACACACAUAGGCUAGAAAGAGGCUGGGGAUGGGGAAAGAU